This 251-nucleotide ribosomal RNA is filed under the name uncultured prokaryote. RNAcentral's name for it is "partial 16S rRNA". It matches the Rfam family "Bacterial small subunit ribosomal RNA", at positions 525 to 775 of the family's 1533-position model. The record is from RNAcentral.
ACGAAGGGAGCUAGCGUUGUUCGGAAUUACUGGGCGUAAAGGGUGCGUAGGCGGUUUAAUUAGUCAGAUGUGAAAGCCCUGGGCUCAACCUAGGAACUGCGUUUGAUACUGUUAAGCUAGAAUUCGGGAGAGGUGAGUGGAAUUCCCAGUGUAGAGGUGAAAUUCGUAGAUAUUGGGAAGAACACCGGUGGCGAAGGCGGCUCACUGGACCGACAUUGACGCUGAGGCACGAAAGCGUGGGGAGCAAACAG